Long non-coding RNA from Mercenaria mercenaria, 4024 nucleotides. RefSeq lists it as uncharacterized. NCBI's taxonomy places the organism in Eukaryota, Metazoa, Mollusca, Bivalvia, Venerida, Veneridae. The transcript has 6 exons. The record is from RefSeq and is a predicted model, not a curated record.
CGAUUCAUCCUAUCCAAUUCCAACUUGACCCUGCCGAUCCCAUUUCUGAUUGGUUACCCAGAUAUGAUUGUAUAGAUAAUACAUAAUAUAGCAUACUUGAAUUAAAAUAUUAAUGUGGAGCAUGGCCAAAAAAUAAGCAGAGAAAAGAUGUUUAUAAAUCAAUUUAAUAUGAAAUAUGUUAGUGUUAAAUUAUGUCUUGUCCAUCCAGUUGACAAAAUUCAAUAUUCACACCUUAUAUGAAGUGUUAAUAGUACACUUCUUUAUAAGUAGAUGUAUGUAUAUGAUAGAAAAGGUUGAAAACAUGAAUUUUUCGAGACAUUCUUAAUAUUAUUAUAAAUAGUUUAUUAUCUGAAGUGGAAUAGUUAUUCAAUCUGGAACCACACUUGUACAGUUUUCAGAAGUUACACUCCAACGAUAUUUUGAAAAGUCUGGAAAAAGAAUUGUUUGAAAGGUAAUAUGUUAUUCUACUUGGUACAUAUAUGCAGAAUUACAGGAGUAAUUUAUAUUUCUUGUUGCCAUGCUUAUUUACAGUACUUACACCAGUUCAUUUUUUUCUUCAGUUUGAGCUGCAAGUUGAAGCAGGAAAAUGGUGUCAAGUGUCAAGGCAAGCCAAAGAAGCAGUACUGGAUUUCCCCCAGAAAAGUAUGAAGAAUGUGUGUGAAAAAAGUGACUGUGUUCAUUUGUAGUAUUUAAAGUGAAGAAAGAACAUAAAAAUUUUAAUCAUUGGAAUUGAUACUUUUUGUGGGGGUGGGAAUCUGUGUCCUUUGUAGUCCAGUUCCUUCCCAUCAGUCCUAACCCCAUUUCAUCUUGACCCAGCCCAUCCCAUUCCUGAUUUGUAAUCCAGAUAUGAAUGUACAAAUAAUAUAUAUCAUAUUUGAAUUAAAAUAUUAAUAUAGAGCAUGGCCACAAAAUAAGCAGAGAGAUGUGUAUAGAUGAAUUUAAUAUGAAAUAUGUUAGUAUGAAAAUAUGUCUUAUGCAUGCAGUUGUCACAUACAAUAGUAACACUUUAUAAGAAUUGAUAAAAGUACACUUCUUUGUAAGUAAAUAUAUGUAUAUGAUGGAAAAGGUUGAAACAUGUGUUUUUGGGAGACAUUUAUAAUAUUGUUAUGGAUUCAGUCUAUUAUCUUAAAUGGAAUAAUUAUUGAAUCUGGAACCACUCUUGUGUAGAGCAUGGGAACAAAAUAAGCAGAGUAUGGAUUUGUAUAAAUGAAUUCAAUAUGAAAUAAUUGUUCAUGUGAAAAUAUGUCUUAUUAAUGCAAUGAACAUUAAAUUUUGCUAUAGUUAAACUUGAUUAGAAGUGGUAAAAGUACAUUUCUUUGUAAAAAUGUAUAUAUGAUAGAAAAGGUCAAUAGACUGCCAAUGACAACUGACUAAUUUGUCCCAUUCAUAUGUAUAGUCAGCGAUUGAUUGGACUUUAUUAUGAAGCAGAAAAGGAAUAUAAAAGUGCAAUAGAAAGGAUUUAAUAUGAAGCAAGGAAAGAUCAUCUAAAUAUUAUAAAAAGUGACAUAAUUAAAAAUGUUAAUUAUUAGAAUUGAUACUUCUGUGGGGGUGGGAAUCUCUGUCCUGUCUAUACCAUUUAUUCCGAUUCAUCCUAUCCAAUUCCAGCUUGACCCUGCCCAUCCCAUUUCUGAUUGGUUACCCAGAUAUGAUUGUAUAAAUAAUACAUAAUAUAGCAUACUUGAAUUAAAAUAUUAAUGUGGAGCAUGGCCAAAAAAUAAGCAGAGAAAAGAUGUGUAUAAAUCAAUUUAAUAUGAAAUAUGUUAGUAUUAAAUCAUGUCUUACUCAUCCAAUUUAUAAUUCUAUAUUCACAGUUAUAUGAAGUGUUAAUAGUACACUUCUUUAUAAGUAGAUGUAUGUAUAUGAUAGAAAAGGUUGAAAACAUGAAUUUUUCGAGACAUUCUUAAUAUUAUUAUAAAUAGUUUAUUAUCUGAAGUGGAAUAGUUAUUCAAUCUGGAACCACACUUGUACAGUUUUCAGAAGUUACACUCCAACGAUAUUUUGAAAAAUCUGGAAAAAGAAUUGUUUGAAAGGUAAUAAUGUUAUUCUACUUGGUACAUAUAUGCAGAAUUACAGGAGUAAUUUAUAUUUAUUGUUGCCAUGCUUAUUUACAGUACUUAUACCAGUUCAUUGUUUCUUCAGUUUGAGCUGGCAAGUUGAAGCAGGAAAAUGGUGUCAAGUGUCAAGGCAAGCCAAAGAAGCAGUACUGGAUUUCCCCCAGAAAAUCAUAUUUGCUGAAUUUGCUGACCAAUGUUGAAGCUGUGGAUUUUCCCUGGGAAAGAAUGAAGAAUGUUUUCAAGAAGAGACUGUAUUCAUUUGUAGUGUUUGAAGUGACAAAAGAAUAACAAAUUGGUACUUACUGGAAUUUUUUUUUUUUUGUGGAGUUGGAAAUCUCCGUCCUGUCUAUUCCUGUUCCUUCCCAUUCUGUCUUGUCCCAUCCUGACCUGGCCCAUCCAUUCCUGAUUGAUAAUCUAGAAGUGUUUGUAAAUAGAACUUGUUGCAUAUUUGAAUUGUAUAUUGAAGUAGUGCUUUAGAUAUGGCCACAAAAUAUGCUGAAAAAGACAGUGUAUAAAAAAUAUUAAUACCAAAUAUGUUAGUGUGAAAAUGUGUUUUAUUUAUGCUAUGGAUACUUAGUUUAGUUUAUUAUUGUAUAAAACUAAAGUGUGUUUCAGGAAAGUAUAAUAAUUAUUUAUAAGUCUAUACGAGUUUUGUUAAACAUAUGGAUACAGUUAUACAGUAUUAUACAGGAUAUAAGAUAGAAUAAAUAUUAAACCUGGAAUGACAUUUGUAGCAAUAUGUAAGGGAAAACUAUUGGGUAUAUAAACAUUGAAUGUAACAACAUGACAAGUCUCUUACAUUAUACUGUUUCUAGAGACAGAAGACAAAAAGAUGUUGAAUGUGACAGCUGGAAAUUAAAGUAGCAGGCUACAAGACUGGAUAGGCACUGGUAUGUAUUGUUGUUUAUAAUGAUACUUGUAGUGUUGUUUAUAAAAGGUUUCAUUGAUAUGUUCACCUGUUCAACACAGGUAAAUGUCAACUUCUCCACUCAUAUUAGAGGUGGAGGAUGAUUGAUUUAGACUUUAGUUUACCAGGAUUUAACUAAUAUAUUCCAUGUAACUUUUACCAUGAUUUUAGAUGCCUAAGUUCCAAAACUUAUUAGCAGAAACGCCCAUGGAUGAAGAAUCAGAAGGCUUAAUCAACAGAUGGUGAAAAUUGUCACAUGCUGUAAGAAAAAUGUCAGCUGGAAAGAUAUAAUCCCUCACACCACCAGUACCAACUCGGACAGAUGGUAUCUCAACAUAUAGUAGAUUCACGGUGAUACAUCAUAGAGCAGAUAUAGCUGGUCAAAUCAUACAAGAAUGUUGAGACAUGUGUAGUUGGUUUCCUGUGAAGAAGAAUGUAUAAUGUAACAGCUGCAGCCAGAGAGUUCGGAGAAAGGGAUCAGCUCAAAGAACAUUGGAGAGGUCUGAUGACAAUAUUGAUAUAGGUUAUGAAGGUGAUCUACAACAUGGUUCUACAGCUGCCAAUGAACUUCGGUAGAAGAGCUGGUAUAUAGGGGAAUGGAGUGAGCAGAUUGCAGUACAGUCAAACCUGUCUAUAAAGACCACCCUUGGGAGAGCCAAAAUGUAGUCUUUAUUGGGAGGUGGUCUUUAUUCACAGGUUAAAAUAUAAAUGUUAAAAUGGAAACAAAACAUGUGUUCUUUAGAGCCAGGUGGUCUUUAAGACAGGUUUGAUUGUAUACACAUCAGUGGAAGUGGAAUAGGCAGAUUUCAAUAUAUACAACAUCAGUGGGAAAAGCACAAUGAAGUUCAGCUGUUUCCAGCUUGAAACACAUGCCAAUGUGGACAGCCUAGGAGGUCCUCAUCAAGUUGCAAUAGAUUCAUUAAAAAAAGAAAUGGAGUAAGCUGUACUUACUGUAUUCUGCUACCUGUAAAAAUGGGGAAUCUUCAGAAGCACAUAAUGACAUGGUCAACAUCAUGGAAGUUCAUGGAGUAUGCCCGUGGCCAGACAAAUCUUCAUCUCUUGG